CAAUAUUUUUUUCUCCAGUGGGGACUGCUGACCUGAAGCAAUCCUAGGGUCUCUAGAUGCUUUAACCCAGGCCAAC
Myotis brandtii (Brandt's bat) is the source of this 76-nucleotide non-coding RNA. The record is from Rfam. Lineage: Eukaryota; Metazoa; Chordata; Mammalia; Chiroptera; Vespertilionidae.